Oncorhynchus tshawytscha (Chinook salmon) is the source of this 1366-nucleotide long non-coding RNA. The record is from Ensembl. NCBI's taxonomy places the organism in Eukaryota, Metazoa, Chordata, Actinopteri, Salmoniformes, Salmonidae.
GAAGGGUUUGUAAGAACCAGACACACAUCCAUGUUGAACACUAGUUGUAAUGGUUAUGGGUCCAUGGUUAAAGAAGGGUCAGUCUGGGAUUGUCUAACUGACAGGGUGUCUGGUCACUUUGUUGUUUGUUUCCCAGACUGACCCUUUAUGGAGGUUAUCUGAUGGAGUUGUGUUGGAUAUACAUGUGGGGUUUUAAGCUGUUUUAGUUUUUAUUUGUAAUUGAACUGACAACAUAUCAGAAAUUAUUAUGUAAUCUAGUGCACUAAAUAUAUAAUAGAAGUUAGCAGGUGUUAUAUUAGUGGUGAAGAAUACAUGUACAACAUUGUGUAAUGUAUUGUAGUGAAUGUGGGGACUAGUCCCUCAUCCAGCAACUGUCAACCCAACACCUUAGUCGUUACACCAAGAGAUAUGAAACCUUUGAUGAGGUUGCUAGGUGUUGGGUUAAGGUCACUACAGUAUAAACUCACUAUAGACCAGGUUAUAAGGUUGCUAGGUGUUGGGUUAAGGUCACUACAGUAUAGACCAGGUUAUGAGGUUGCUAGGUAUUGGGUUAAGGUCACUACAGUAUGAACUCACUAUAGACCAGGUUAUGAGGUUGCUAGGUGUUGGGUUAAGGUCACUACAGUAUAAACUCAGUAUAGACCAGGUUAUGAGGUUGCUAGGUGUUGGGUUAAGGUCAGUAUUAACCAGGUGGUGGGGACUGUCUGGUAAUUAGUCAAAUGUGACGUUAUUGGUGUAGAAACAGUAAAUGAUCAGUAGGCUGGAUGUAUUAUAAACAUUAUAUUGUGAAGACAUGUUUAUUUAGUUAAUAGCAUUACACUGGACCAAACCUGUCUGGCUGUCUGUUGAAUUACACUGGACCAAACCUGUCUGGCUGUCUGUUGAAUUACACUGGACCAAACCUGUCUGGCUGUCUGUUGAAUUACACUGGACCAAACCUGUCUGGGUGUCUGUUGAAUUACACUGGACCAAACCUGUCUGGCUGUCUGUUGAAUUACACUGGACCAAACCUGUCUGGCUGUCUGUUGGUUUACACUGGACCAAACCUGUUUGGCUGUCUGUUGAAUUACACUGGACCAAACCUGUCUGGCUGUCUGUUGAAUUACACUGGACCAAAACCUGUCUAGCUGUCUGUUGAAUUACACUGGACCAAAACCUGUCUGGCUGUCUGUUGAAUUACACUGGACCAAAACCUGUCUAGCUGUCUGUUGAAUUACACUGGACCAAAACCUGUCUGGCUGUCUGUUGAAUUACACUGGACCAAAACCUGUCUGGCUGUCUGUUGAAUUACACUGGACCAAAACCUGUCUAGCUGUCUGUUGAAUUACACUGGACCAAAACCUGUCUGGCUGUCUGUUGAAUUACA